Molecule: long non-coding RNA, 414 nt
Filed under: Lactuca sativa (garden lettuce)
Lineage: Eukaryota; Viridiplantae; Streptophyta; Magnoliopsida; Asterales; Asteraceae
Description: long non-coding RNA (LSAT_LNC002387)
Source: RNAcentral
UUUUCCCUCUUCUCUCUCAUUGUUUCCUACUCGCACCUCUCCCUUACACCCCCUCUCGUCUUCGUUUUCAUCGUCGGAGUUCCAUCUUACCGCCGAUGCUUUCCGUUCAUCACCGAUUCAUCGUCGCCCUUUUUAGCUCCAGUCGUCUGCUUGUCGUCGCCGUCAUCGGCUUGCCAUCGCCAUUGUCAUCAUUUUUUCAAGUAAGCUUUUUUUGGUUUAAUUCCAAUUAGGUUUUCGUUUUGGGUUAGGAUUGAUUUUGAUUUAGACUUUGUUUUGAUGUAGGGUGUGUUUUGAUUUUGGGUUCCGUUAGAUGCCUUCUUCAAACUGUUGAUGCCUUCUUCAAACUCCUCUGCUCCAUGUGUUAUUGAGGCGACCAAGGUUAUUACUCCAUGGCUCAGCUGCCCUCCUCUCUCU